UGAACGCUGGCGGCAUGCCUAACACAUGCAAGUCGAACGGAAACGAUGGGAGCUUGCUCCCAGGCGUCGAGUGGCGGACGGGUGAGUAAUACUUAGGAAUCUGCCCAUUAGUGGGGGACAACUAGAAGAAAUUCUAGCUAAUACCGCAUACGCCCUACGGGGGAAAGCGGGGGAUCUUCGGACCUCGCGCUAAUGGAUGAGCCUAAGUCGGAUUAGCUUGUUGGUGAGGUAAUGGCUCACCAAGGCGACGAUCCGUAGCUGGUCUGAGAGGACGAUCAGCCACACUGGGACUGAGACACGGCCCAGACUCCUACGGGAGGCAGCAGUGGGGAAUAUUGGACAAUGGGCGCAAGCCUGAUCCAGCAAUGCCGCGUGUGUGAAGAAGGCCUGCGGGUUGUAAAGCACUUUCAGUAGAGAAGAAAAGCGUACGGUUAAUAGCCGUAAGUCUUGACGUAACCUACAGAAGAAGCACCGGCUAACUCC
Molecule: ribosomal RNA, 483 nt
Filed under: uncultured bacterium
Lineage: Bacteria
Description: bacterial SSU rRNA
Rfam family: Bacterial small subunit ribosomal RNA
Source: RNAcentral